This 442-nucleotide ribosomal RNA is filed under the name uncultured bacterium. RNAcentral's name for it is "partial 16S ribosomal RNA". It matches the Rfam family "Bacterial small subunit ribosomal RNA", at positions 338 to 795 of the family's 1533-position model. The record is from RNAcentral.
CCUACGGGAGGCAGCAGUGGGGAAUAUUGCGCAAUGGGCGCAAGCCUGACCCAGCAACGCCGCGUGAACGAAGAAGGCUUUCGGUUUGUAAACUUCUUUCGACAGGGAAGAGUAGAAGACGGUACCUGUGGAAUAAGCAACGGCUAAAUACGUGCCAGCAGCCGCGGUAAUACGUAGGUGGCAAGCGUUAUCCGGAUUUACUGGGUGUAAAGGGAGCGUAGCCGGGUUGACAAGCCAGAUGUGAAAGCCUGCGGCCGAACCGCAGGACUGCAUUGGAAACUGUUGAGCUGGAGUGCUGGAGAGGCAGGCGGAAUUCCUAGUGUAGCGGUGAAAUGCGUAGAUAUUAGGAGGAACACCAGUGGCGAAGGCGGUCUGCUGGACAGUAACUGACGGUGAGGCGCGAAAGCGUGGGGAGCAAACAGGAUUAGAUACCCGGGUAGUC